This 253-nucleotide ribosomal RNA is filed under the name uncultured bacterium. RNAcentral's name for it is "partial 16S ribosomal RNA". It matches the Rfam family "Bacterial small subunit ribosomal RNA", at positions 524 to 776 of the family's 1533-position model. The record is from RNAcentral.
UACGGGGGGGGCAAGCGUUGUUCGGAAUUACUGGGCGUAAAGGGCGCGUAGGCGGCCUGCUAAGUCGAACGUGAAAUCCCUGGGCUCAACCCAGGAACUGCGUCCGAUACUGGUUGGCUUGAAUCCGGGAGAGGGAUGUGGAAUUCCAGGUGUAGCGGUGAAAUGCGUAGAUAUCUGGAGGAACACCGGUGGCGAAGGCGGCAUCCUGGACCGGCAUUGACGCUGAGGCGCGAAAGCUAGGGGAGCAAACGGG